This is a long non-coding RNA of Phacochoerus africanus (Common warthog), 2194 nucleotides long. RefSeq lists it as uncharacterized. NCBI's taxonomy places the organism in Eukaryota, Metazoa, Chordata, Mammalia, Artiodactyla, Suidae. The transcript is spliced from 3 exons. The record is from RefSeq and is a predicted model, not a curated record.
CUUUUGGGUGCUAGUCAGAUUCGUUUCAGCUGAGCCACGUCGGGACCUCCCGUCUUAAAUUUUAAAAAUCCCUCUGGCUAUUGAUGGAGAAUAGACCAGAGGGGAGUGGUGAGGAUAGGGAGGUUGGAAGGGUGGAAGCAAAGAAAUUGCGGAGUAGAAGGUGAUGGCAGGUGAUGAAAUGGGAUGCAGGUGUGGCUGGGGUGAAGUGAGCUAGGGAAUGGAUGGUAGGAAGUAGCCAUGGGCCAGAUGAGAUAGGGCAUUGUAGAUCACAGAAUUCCUUCCAAAAGAGUUGGGGGGAGUAAGGGGGUCCCCCUUCAGUUUUACAAGGAAUCCUCAAGUUGCUGUGUGUGAAUAGAUCGUCCAGGAGCAGGAGCGGAAGCAGGCAGAGAGCACAGUUAGGAAGCGGUUCCGGGGAUGGAGAGAGACGGUGAGUCAGACCCGAGUGGAAGCGGUGAUAGGGGAUCUAAUUUGACAAUAGAGCCAGCAGGGCUUGCCAGUGUGUUAUGGAGUAAGAGUGAAAGAACCGUGGUGCUGUUUACUGAGAUGGAGACUGCAGGAGGAGCAGAGCUGGCCUAGGUGUGCUUUGGAGCACGUUAGGUUUCAGUCGCCUGGGGAACACCAGUGGCGGUGUCUCGUGGACUCUUGGCUCUUCCAGCCUGGAGUUCAGGCUUGAGCACUGAAUUCCAAGCCGCCAUUGCCUGGGUGGUGGUUAAAAGCAUGGACUGAAUGGACGUGUCUGGGAGGAGCGUGUCGAUGGAGCAGAAAGAUCUAAGGACCAGGACCUGGGGUACUUUAGUGUAAUGAGAUGGAAGCAGAAGGAAAAGCCGGGAAACUGGAAGAAAUGGCAGUUGAGUAAGAGGAAAAGCAGGGGCUCGGGUGUCUAUAAAGCAGAUCAAAGAAAGUUCUUUCUGAAAGAAGCUGAUCAGCUGGACUGGAUGCUGCUGAGAGCUGGGCGAGGUGGCCCCACCACUCACUCGCAGGGCGCCCUGAGGCAGAGCGUUUUCUCUGGAGAGUGUGAAUGUUCCUGGCACAGAAAGAUCCUAGUCGCCCUCCAGCCCCGCCUCCCUCGCAGGCCAGCCGUGGGACUGAGGUGGCUCUUGUGCAUUAGCGCACCUUGCAAGAGCCCGCAUCACUGUGUCUGCUGGCUGUGCUCCUGUCGCAGUCCUGUCACCCCAUAUCGCUUGGACCUCACAGGUCAUACGGAGGAGUCUGGAAAACAACCCCUCUGGUUUCCCUUCUGCUCACCAUUAGGUCACGAGCACAGAGUAAUCAGUGUUUCCUCCAAGAAACACUGCAGGUUUCGCGGCUUCUGAAAGUCACUGCUCUUGAGUCUUUCUGAGGCGAGGAACCGAGGCCCCAUGUCGCAGAUGCCCCGGAUUAGCGACAUUUGGGGUGCUAGAGAAGUCUUCACGUCUGCCUCCGGCCAGAGCGGCUCAGUCACCUGGCGGUUCCGAGUACAAGGGAGCGGGGACAUCAGGUCGCCUGUGAGACUUGGAACCUGAGGACUCAAGAGGAUCAGAAGUCGCCCAGCUGUUCUGGGGGACAGAAGUCCUGGAAUCAGAGCGUUGGCAGGGCUGUGUCCCCCCGGAAGUCCUAAGGGAGGACACACGCCUAGCUUUUUCCAGCGUCCAGGGCUGCCUGCAUUCCCCGGCUCAUGGCCCCUUCCUCCGAGGUCACAGCCAGCACUUGGGGCUUUCAGCUCUCUCUCUCAUCACCGCACCUUCUUCUCUGAUUCUGGCCCUCCUGGCUCCCUUAUAAGGACCUUUGUGAUGACACCAGGCCCAGGCCGGGUAAGCCAGCAUCGUCUCCCAUCGCGAGAUCCUUAAUUGAAGUGCAUGUGCAGAGUCCCCUUGGCCAGGUAAGGUCACAUGCUCACCAACUCCACGAAUACAUCCUGGCAUCUCUGAGGGCAGUGUUGCUCCCACAGGGAUGGUCAUGCAUGCUUUGAAGAUUGUUGGCAGGUUUCCUGAUGCACGCGGUCUGUCCAUUUGCUGGGGCACCUUUUCUCUGUCCCCUUUUACAAGUGGGAGGGUCCUACUGUGAGUCCGCACCCCAUGGCCUGGUUCCAUGUCCCCAAGGCCUGACAUGGUGACCAGCUAAUGCUGUUCCCUCCUGGGUUCAAGUCUCCUCCUCCUCUGUGACAUUCAGGACCCCAUGUCCUCCUUCCAGCUUCAGCCUUGUGCCUUCUGUUUCU